Long non-coding RNA from Mus musculus (house mouse), 1579 nucleotides. RefSeq annotates it as predicted gene, 38494. The record is from RefSeq and is a predicted model, not a curated record. The transcript has 3 exons. Lineage: Eukaryota; Metazoa; Chordata; Mammalia; Rodentia; Muridae.
GGGAGUCUAGAGAAGAUGACGUUGGCUCUAACUUCAUCGUAGAGAAUGUUCUGCGAUGCUCAGCAACUGCCUGGUAAUCCUCCACUGUGUGGACUCUGAUUUCAGCAUUAUCUUUCUCUGCUUUCAGCUCCAGCUCAACAUUUAAGAGGGCAAUCUUGGCGUUCUUAGACUCCUUGGGCCGCGUCUCAAACUUAGCAGAAGAGAAAGUGUUCCUGACCAGGACGCCAGCCACCAGCUAAGACUCCCCUAGGGCUCCACCCCUAGGGCUGCACCUUCUUGAUGCAAACCAUGUUAAGCUUUAGCAGCUCAGCUAAGCGUCAUCACAGCAUCCACCCUGUUGGCGAGGGAGGCCUUGUGCUGGGAGCAGCCAACGGCCUCUGCACACGUCACCCUGUCAGUGGAUCAGCAGAGCUCACGCUGAGGCCCAGUGCAAGUGUGAAGACUGGAGACAGAAACUGAAUCUCCAGGUCGUGCUUUCUGUAGUGAGCUCGUCGUCGUGUGAGGAGGUGACCAGCUGAUACUCUAGGGCAAUGGCCUCACCACCUCAUCUGACACAGAGAACAACAAGGAACACACAAGCAGACUCCUGUCUAUAGAUGUCUAGAGGACCCUCCUGCACCCUUCACACACCCUGCUGUCAACUUCACACAUGUGAGUACACCUUUUGGGGACGUUGUGGAAAUGGAGCUACUGAAACGUAGGACACAGUCACUUGCUGUUUCAAAAGGACAAUGCUCUCCAUGAAGAUUCAGUCGAGUGCCAAGAUUUUACUAACACAAAGGAAAAAGUGCUGCGGUGUGGCUUUAAUUUAAACUUCUCUAGUUAAGUGAGGUUAUACAUCCCUGUCUUUGUGUGUGUGUAUGAGCCAUCUGUAGUUCAUCUUCCAGAACAUUCAGCUCUAAUCUUCAUCCGCACCUCCAUUAGAUAGACAGGCCACUUCUAGCACAUAAUUAAGUUCCACUUGUUAGAGUUUGUGGGCUUUUCAGUUUUAUUUUACUGACCUAAUUAGCAUCUGAUGCUUAUCUAUCAGUCAGUCUAUCUCACUAUCUCCCAUCUGUCUGUCUGUCUGUCUGUCAUUUCUCUACCUUACAGAAUUAGCCUUAAAGAUUAAGUGAAUUCAGAACACUAGGUUCACAGAUGUGUCUGUCCAGUAAACUUCAGGGAUCAGCAGCAAUGACUCUUCAUCUUCUAUAAUCACAGACAAGGUAGGGUUAAAUCCUGAUAUUCCACAGAGUAAAGAACUUGCAGUUCACCCCUGACUUAGUAGUUCCCAAGCUGCCUCUGUGAAUACAGUUCACUCCCUUCCCCCAGGCUCAAACUUCCCAUUUCCUGCUGGCUGAACUUCCUCACACCUGCCUCCAACAUGGCUAACCCCUCCCACCUUGCUUCUUUAAGGACUUCAAGGGCUCCCGCACCUGAGAACCAACAGAAGGAAAGGGGUUGGGGGAUUGGAAGGAAAAGCCUUGUUUCCAGGGCAUUUGGGAACCAAAGCCAACUGUAGCAUCCUCCCGUUGCUAGGAUACAGAUAGACUCUGUAUAGAGUCCCUGCCUGGAAACAGAGAGAGGGAGACUAGCUUGC